Molecule: long non-coding RNA, 871 nt
Organism: Cyprinus carpio (common carp)
Lineage: Eukaryota; Metazoa; Chordata; Actinopteri; Cypriniformes; Cyprinidae
Source: Ensembl
AUAAAACCGUUUUAGCGCUCUGUUUACGGUUGCCAAGCACCAAGGUUCGUAUAGAAAACGGAAGCGUUGGCCAUUUGCUGAAAGUUAUUCGGUGAUCACACUAGCAAACAUUAGCAAUAAAUAAAUAAAUAAAUAGAAUUUUGAUAACACUUUAGUAAAUAUGGCAAACCCUAAAGAAAAAGACCCUGUGGACAUAGUUCACCAGAAUGCUAUUCAUGUCGAGACAAUACUAAAGGAGCUGAGAUACCACUGAGUUUAACAUUAACCCCUUCAAGAAACGUGAGAGCAGAGCUUCACUUGUAGUACAGUAUCUAUGUCUCUGUAUUUGGCUAAAUAUGUAAAAGAGCCUCUUUGAGUUCACAUUCUGACUGACAAGCCAAUGUCCAACAUCACCUACAGAAAAGAAGAGGACCGUAAGUAUUUCCACCACGUUUGAUUUAAUACAGUUCAUAGUUUUCGGCAAAAUACCUUAGUUAACGUUACAACAUUUGUUAAAUCCACAAAAUAUGUUAAAUCCAUAUGUUAAAUGUUUUCAUUUUUAAUUAGUUCUUUUGAUGAUAGUGGUGGUAAAGUGAUUAUUAUUACCAUUAACUGUAUUUACUGUUUGGGCGUCUGGGUUUAAUGGUUGUAUAAAUGUAAUAUAUUGUACUUUGUGUAAAGUGUAAUGAGAAAAUAUUUUUGUACAGCUGCUUUCAUCCAAGCCAUACACAGGGCCUGUCUGGAGCCCACAAAAAAGUACUCUCACCCUCAGACUGAAGCUAUAGGAGCGACAGGAUGGUUAUCCAGUCCUUUAGAGAGUGAUGAAGAGGGACUGGAGCACAGGUUCAUGAAUGACCUUCAUAAAUAUACAAGCUUACUCCCAAGAGACUAA